UGCAUUCACUACUGUAAGUCACUCUAGAUAAGAGCGUCUGCUAAAUGACAAAUG
This is a non-coding RNA of Salmo salar (Atlantic salmon), 54 nucleotides long. The record is from Rfam. NCBI's taxonomy places the organism in Eukaryota, Metazoa, Chordata, Actinopteri, Salmoniformes, Salmonidae.